GUGCUACAAUGGUCUGUACAAUGGGUAGCCAAGCCGCGAGGCGGAGCCAAUCCUGAAAGCAGGCCUCAGUUCAGAUUGCAGUCUGCAACUCGACUGCAUGAAGCCGGAGUUGCUAGUAACCGCAGGUCAGCAAUACUGCGGUGAAUACGUUCCCGGGUCUU
RNAcentral lists this ribosomal RNA (161 nucleotides) under uncultured Anaerolineaceae bacterium. RNAcentral describes it as "partial 16S ribosomal RNA". It matches the Rfam family "Bacterial small subunit ribosomal RNA", at positions 1222 to 1382 of the family's 1533-position model. The record is from RNAcentral. Lineage: Bacteria; Bacillati; Chloroflexota; Anaerolineae; Anaerolineales; Anaerolineaceae.